CUCUCCCUCUUAGUUGCCUAGUAGAUGGUGAUUCUGCCUAAGGCCCUCAUGCCUCCCAGGGUCAGCUUGCCUCUCCUUGAGUUAUUAGCACACAGAAACCCAGGCACCAAGGACAAACUCUACAAUAUGAAGCCACUUGCAUCCAGUAUCAUAACUGCAAGAGCAAACUAAGUGCAGAAAUGCAGUGUUUGUUUUUGUGCAUGCAUUGUGCUCAGGACUUAACAAAUCAGAUCUAGGUAAAGGUCUGCCCUUGUAUGUGCAAUCUGUGAUUCCCUUCCUCAUGUCAUGUUCAUGCCAGAAAUACUUAUUCCAGACUCCUCAUGUUUGCGG
Long non-coding RNA from Dermochelys coriacea (leatherback sea turtle), 330 nucleotides. RefSeq lists it as uncharacterized. Lineage: Eukaryota; Metazoa; Chordata; Testudines; Dermochelyidae. The record is from RefSeq and is a predicted model, not a curated record. The transcript has 3 exons.